Molecule: transfer RNA, 75 nt
Filed under: Saccharimonas aalborgensis (SeqCode)
Lineage: Bacteria; Candidatus Saccharimonadota; Candidatus Saccharimonadia; Saccharimonadales (SeqCode); Saccharimonadaceae (SeqCode)
Description: Candidatus Saccharimonas aalborgensis tRNA-OTHER
Rfam family: tRNA
About the family: Transfer RNA (tRNA) molecules are approximately 80 nucleotides in length.
Source: RNAcentral
GGCACUGUAGCUCAGUCGGUUAGAGCGUAGGACUCAUAAGCCUGAGGUCUUUGAUUGGAACCCGACCCACUGUCG